AUUGAACGCCGGCGGCAGGCUUAACACAUGCAAGUCGAGCGGUAGCACAGGGGAGCUUGCUCCCUGGGUGACGAGCGGCGGACGGGUGAGUAAUGUCUGGGAAACUGCCUGAUGGAGGGGGAUAACUACUGGAAACGGUAGCUAAUACCGCAUAACGUCGCAAGACCAAAGAGGGGGACCUUCGGGCCUCUUGCCAUCAGAUGUGCCCAGAUGGGAUUAGCUAGUAGGUGGGGUAAUGGCUCACCUAGGCGACGAUCCCUAGCUGGUCUGAGAGGAUGACCAGCCACACUGGAACUGAGACACGGUGCAGACUCCUACGGGAGGCAGCAGUGGGGAAUAUUGCACAAUGGGCGCAAGCCUGAUGCAGCCAUGCCGCGUGUGUGAAGAAGGCCUUCGGGUUGUAAAGCACUUUCAGCGAGGAGGAAGGUGGUGAGCUUAAUACGUUCAUCAAUUGACGUUACUCGCAGAAGAAGCACCGGCUAACUCCGUG
RNAcentral lists this ribosomal RNA (490 nucleotides) under uncultured bacterium. RNAcentral describes it as "partial 16S ribosomal RNA". It matches the Rfam family "Bacterial small subunit ribosomal RNA", at positions 30 to 507 of the family's 1533-position model. The record is from RNAcentral.